Long non-coding RNA from Patella vulgata (common limpet), 1138 nucleotides. RefSeq lists it as uncharacterized. NCBI's taxonomy places the organism in Eukaryota, Metazoa, Mollusca, Gastropoda, Patellidae. The record is from RefSeq and is a predicted model, not a curated record. The transcript has 6 exons.
AUUUUAUAGUUGUGAGCAGUUAAAUAAGUGAAGUUGAUACGUGUACAUCUAUACGGUAUGAGUACUCCCGUAUAUUUGUUGACGGUUUUAUUAUGGAUUAACCUAGUCCAAGCUGAUGUGUUUUUUCAUCAUGGCGAUACUCAAGUACGCUAUGUGACCAAGGUCAAGAAUGGCGACGUGGAUAAAAGAGAGGAGUGUAAUUGUUAUUGCAAACGGAAAUGGGGAACGGAUUCAUGGGAUUGCUGUACAUGCGGCUGGGCAGAUAAUAUCUGUUUUCCUGGUGACGUCAGUUUAACCCUGGAAUCGGGCAAGGUCAUUGCCAUGGAGAAAUUGAAACAGGGACACCGAGUUUUAGCGGUAACGGAAGAAGGUAAACUUGUGUUUAGUGAAGUGAAGACGUUCCUCAAACGUUAUCCAGACAAUAUGGCCGUCUACUUAGAUUUGAUAACAGAAGAUGAGCAGACGAUAUCGCUCUCGGAAAGUCACGUGAUAUUUAGUUCUACUACCAAUAAUACUAAAGAAAUGAUUCCAAAUUUUGCUGGAAGAGUAAAUAUAGGUGAUUAUUUAUUCACUACAGAUAACUGUAAAAUUGAGAUAUGUCCAGUUAAAGUUAAAAGAAUUACACACAACGUUAGAAAAGGUGUCUACGUUCCCCUUACAGAUGAAGGCACGGUGGUUGUAAACAAAAUGGCGGCGUCUUGUUACAGCUCCAUCAAUCACCACCUGGCUCACCUGUUCAUGACACCAAUCAGAAGAUAUCCAUGGCUGUUAGGAGAUUAUCAACAACAAGGCUAUAGUCCAUUUAUAAGUUUCUUAAAGGACUUGGGUCACUGGAUUCUACCAAAUAAUAUGCAAUUUGAUUUAAGCAAAGAAGGAUUCAUGGCUGCCAGAACUCAAACUGAGCUAUAAGCUAUAAGCAUCGUGUAUUUCCAGCGCUAAAAACCCCGUUCUAAACUAUACCAAAUCCCUAGUGAUAAGUUCAAUAAAAUUUAAACUGAAAACAAAUUCUAAGACUUUUCUGAAUUAUAAGAGUAUACAUUACAAGGCUAUCAUCCCUUGUAUACUUGAAAUAUCUUUCAACAAUUCCAUGCAUACAUCUUUAAAAUGAUGCUAAAUAUAAAGUUACUUCUAAUUCUAA